Molecule: long non-coding RNA, 2515 nt
Filed under: Nicotiana benthamiana
Lineage: Eukaryota; Viridiplantae; Streptophyta; Magnoliopsida; Solanales; Solanaceae
Description: long non-coding RNA (NBEN_LNC027244)
Source: RNAcentral
CCUAGCCCAAAUCGUGCUUAAACGUGCUCCACAUGCCCAAAAUACACGGCAGUCAUCAGAGACCCCAAAAUCACAAAAUCGCUAAAUCUCUCAACGCGUACUACGCACUUUUCAUCUUCUUCUCCAUCUCAAUCAUGUUCAACUCGCCAAAUCCCAAGCGAGUGAGCUCAAAUUCACCCCACACGUCCCCCCUCCAUCCUCUUCACCAUAUUUGUAACGGCCUCUGAUAGAUCCUCUCAUCCCCAUCCCUUUCUCACGUGAUGGAAGCCUCUAGAAGGCAAAUGCCGAAUGAAUGGGGAGCGUGGGAUCGACUUGGAUUGAUCCCAACCCUUCAUUCAUCAGGUGUUUGCCUAAUAACUAGAGGGAUAUUUGGGAAUAACAGGGGAAUAUAUUUUCAGAGAGAUUUUCGGGGAUUCGGGACUCUGGUAACAAAAUUUGAAAUUCUAGUUUUCUGAUUUUAUUCUUUGAAGAGUUCUUUCAGAGUCUAAGAGAAGCAUAUAUACAAUUUUUAUUUCUCAGAAUCCGGAUUUGAGUUCCAAGGAGAUAAAAAUGGAAGUUCAAGCUUGGUUUUCUACUGUCGUCUUACUGAUUUGCUGCUGAAUCACGCUAGGAUUUGAAGUCGAGAAGUGUAUUGUUAGGUCUAAUUGAUAUAAAAGAGAUUUACAACUUCAGGUUCAAUUUUCCUCUCUUUUAUUCUAUGUGACUCUGUUUUUGUUUCAGUGUUCUUGAGCUAUGAGAUUCAAUCUGGAGUGGUCGGUUUCGUGUUAUGAUCGAAUAUCUUAUGACUGAAUCUAUUCUCAGUGGUAGUAUGUGUUUCAGUAUAUAUAGUCAAUAAGAGUCGAUUUGAGUAUCCGUCUUCCAUUUCCUCUAUGUCGUGACUGUUAUUCGGGCUCGAAGUAUUUUCUAAGUUAAGAUUUCAUCACGUUCAGUUGAAUGAUAUGUGCAGUUUUUUCUGGUGAACUUCCUUUGCAAUGUGUUCUGAUGUACCUGAUGAUAUGCUUGAGCCAUCCAUCUUGAUUUCAACAUAUUCGAUAUAAUUCAUUGAAGAGUUCCUUUUUAUGUGAUCUCAUGAUCAUUCUCGCAUGUAUUGUUAGUUUGAAUCUGUCGAAGUUCCCUAUUGAUAAUAUCUGCUCUUUGAGGCUCAUUAUGCUGGAAGAUCAUUACUUGUUCCGGUUUGUUUUUAGCAUGAAAAAUCUGUCCCUAAACUCUUUAAAUAAAAUAUCAUUUGAAGCUUGUGUAAUAGUAUGGAUUUGUCUCCUUUGAGAUCAUUUUGCAUUUUUAAUUCAAGCUAUGAACCUUAGUCCAUUCAUCCUGCACAAGUUGCCUCUCUUUCAGUAACUGGGCUGUUUGCUUUUGGUUCUGACCCUCAGUUGUUUCAGAAUGGUCUUUUUCUGCAUCUGAUUACACAUUUUGGAGUCAUGAGUGUUGAGUAUGAUUAUUUAGUGAAAACUGGAAUUUUAUCUUCUCCACUUUCAAAGGCUGCUGCUAUGCAAUCUUGUUUAACUGUGAUCAUAGGAUUUUACUGUUGAAAAACUGCUCAGUUUUGGUAUUGUGUGGGAAACAAAUCUGCACAACUUUAAGUACACAAUUCCACGCUGUUGAUUUGCCAAAUUAUCAAGCUGCUGGAUAAUUUAUUUUCUAAUUGAGUUUUGCUUGGUUUUGUGAUUGUUAAUCAGUCAAAGAAAUCAGUAGGGGUGAGUUUGUUUUGAUAAGUUCUUCUACAGACACCUUGAAUUAGUUUGUUUGUUUGUUAAUGAAUCAAAGACAAGUUUCGUUUGCCACUUCCCUUUCCAUGUCAUUAUUUGGGUUUGUUGCUGCAUAUUUGAUAAGAAGGUUUAGAACACUUUGUUGGGAAUUUGAUUCUCUUAAGAACUGGGAUAACCGUAGCUUGGGUGUAGCUAGGACCAAAGUUUUGGCUGUCGGAUUAAUUUAAAUAGCUAAUGCACUAUAUGGCUAAUGAGUAAUUUUAUAUUCAAACUUGGAUCAAGGUUGGGCCAUUGGUUAGUUAUGAAUUAUAUUUCUUGGACUAUUGCUGGGUGUUUUAAUGUUGAUGGCUGCCUAAUCCUUAUUCAGAAAGGAAGUUGUCCUUCUUGCCUAGCAUAUAGAUUUCCAUCUACUUUGCUUCUUCUUGAUUGCCUAGUUUGUUGGUAAAAUACCCUUUUUAUUGAUAUAUUAUCUCCACUACAGUUGGGAGAACUGAUAUAUGUUGGUGUGCUUGCCAAAAGGCAUGUGGAAUCGGAUAAUAUGGGCCAUGGCCAGUUCAACUUUCCUGGCAUUUUACAUAAUGAAAAAAGAGUUUUGAAGCGAUUCACUAUGCUAGUUGCGCAAUUGCUUCUGCUGCUUUUGUUUACUAUAUUGUUGCCUAUCGUCGUGACUUUCAGCAUGUUGAAUUUAUUAAAGCACCAGAAGCAUUGGACAAGUUAAAGGGGGUGUCAUUUUCGGGGUGCGCCGUGCCAAACAAAAACGACAGUUACAUGGCCCUCGUUUAAUUAAUAUUGUAUUGUCUUUAGAAUCC